AACGAACGCUGGCGGCAUGCCUAACGCAUGCAAGUCGAACGAGACCUUCGGGUCUAGUGGCGCACGGGUGCGUAACGCGUGGGAACCUGCCCUUAGGUUCGGAAUAACUCCCCGAAAGGGGUGCUAAUACCGGAUAAUGUCUUCGGACCAAAGAUUUAUCGCCUUUGGAUGGGCCCGCGUUGGAUUAGCUAGUUGGUAGGGUAAAAGCCUACCAAGGCGACGAUCCAUAGCUGGUCUGAGAGGAUGAUCAGCCACACUGGGACUGAGACACGGCCCAGACUCCUACGGGAGGCAGCAGUGGGGAAUAUUGGACAAUGGGCGAAAGCCUGAUCCAGCAAUGCCGCGUGAGUGAUGAAGGCCUUAGGGUUGUAAAGCUCUUUUACCUGGGAUGAUAAUGACAGUACCGGGAGAAUAAGCUCCGGCUAACUCCGUG
This 433-nucleotide ribosomal RNA is filed under the name uncultured bacterium. RNAcentral's name for it is "partial 16S ribosomal RNA". It matches the Rfam family "Bacterial small subunit ribosomal RNA", at positions 29 to 507 of the family's 1533-position model. The record is from RNAcentral.